UACGGGAGGCAGCAGGGGGGAAUAUUGCACAAUGGGCGCAAGCCUGAUGCAGCCAUGCCGCGUGUAUGAAGAAGGCCUUCGGGUUGUAAAGUACUUUCAGUCGUGAGGAAGGUGUUAAGGUUAAUAACCUUAGCAAUUGACGUUAGCGACAGAAGAAGCACCGGCUAACUCCGUGCCAGCAGCCGCGGUAAUACGGAGGGUGCGAGCGUUAAUCGGAAUUACUGGGCGUAAAGGGCACGCAGGCGGUUAAUUAAGUUGGAUGUGAAUCCCCGGGCUAACCUGGGAAUGGCAUUCAAGACUGGUUAGCUAGAGUCUUGUAGAGGGGGUAGAAUUCCAUGUGUAGCGGUGAAAUGCGUAGAGAUGUGGAGGAAUACCGGUGGCGAAGGCGGCCCCUGGACAAAGACUGACGCUCAUGUGCGAAAGCGUGGGGAGCAAACAGGGAUUAGAUACC
RNAcentral lists this ribosomal RNA (451 nucleotides) under uncultured bacterium. RNAcentral's name for it is "bacterial SSU rRNA". It matches the Rfam family "Bacterial small subunit ribosomal RNA", at positions 340 to 786 of the family's 1533-position model. The record is from RNAcentral.